Molecule: ribosomal RNA, 403 nt
Filed under: Fusobacteriota bacterium
Lineage: Bacteria; Fusobacteriati; Fusobacteriota
Description: Fusobacteria bacterium partial 16S ribosomal RNA
Rfam family: Bacterial small subunit ribosomal RNA
Source: RNAcentral
UGGGGAAUAUUGCACAAUGGAGGGAACUCUGAUGCAGCGACGCCGCGUGAACGAAGAAGGCUUUCGAGUCGUAAAGUUCUUUUAUAUGGGAAGAUAAUGACGGUACCAUAAGAAAAAGCCCCGGCUAACUACGUGCCAGCAGCCGCGGUAAUACGUAGGGGGCUAGCGUUGUCCGGAAUCACUGGGCGUAAAGGGUUCGCAGGCGGAAAUGCAAGUCAGGUGUAAAAGGCAGUAGCUUAACUACUGUAAGCAUUUGAAACUGCAUAUCUUGAGAAGAGUAGAGGUAAGUGGAAAUUUUAGUGUAGCGGUGAAAUGCGUAGAUAUUAAAAAGAAUACCAGUGGCGAAGGCGACUUACUGGGCUCAUUCUGACGCUGAGGAACGAAAGCGUGGGUAGCAAACAGG